UUUCCUACGGGGCGCAGCAGUGGGGAAUAUUGCACAAUGGGGGAAACCCUGAUGCAGCGACGCCGCGUGAGUGAAGAAGUAAUUCGUUAUGUAAAGCUCUAUCAGCAGGGAAGAAAAUGACGGUACCUGAAGAAGAAGCCCCGACUAACUACGUGCCAGCAGCCGCGGUAAUACGUAGGGGGCAAGCGUUAUCCGGAUUUACUGGGUGUAAAGGGGGCGCAGACGGCGAUGCAAGCCAGGAGUGAAAGCCCGGGGCCCAACCCCGGGACUGCUCUUGGAACUGCGUGGCUAGAGUGCAGGAGGGG
This 305-nucleotide ribosomal RNA is filed under the name uncultured bacterium. RNAcentral's name for it is "bacterial SSU rRNA". It matches the Rfam family "Bacterial small subunit ribosomal RNA", at positions 335 to 657 of the family's 1533-position model. The record is from RNAcentral.